ACCCCUUCCUUCCCUCACUCUGCCACUAGUCACCCCUUCCCUCACUCUGUCACCAGUCAUUCCCUCACUCUAGUGACAGAGUGAGGGAGAGGGUGACUAGUGACAGAGUGAGGUAGUGAUUAGU
Non-coding RNA from Pelobates cultripes (western spadefoot toad), 124 nucleotides. The record is from the annotation of a GenBank genome assembly. NCBI's taxonomy places the organism in Eukaryota, Metazoa, Chordata, Amphibia, Anura, Pelobatidae.